CCCAGGGGCUGCUGCAUAAAAUUGUCACUCAUUCCCAUCUCCUUGCUGCUAGCUUCGUCCUGAAAUAAGGAAUGGAGAAGAAAUAAUAUAAAAGAAGCAACUUGUGAAUUUUAAGCACCAUAUGAAUUAUUCUUAUUCAGUGGCAGAAUCAGAAUUAAAACUCAUGUCUGCUGACUUUCA
Molecule: non-coding RNA, 180 nt
Organism: Phascolarctos cinereus (koala)
Lineage: Eukaryota; Metazoa; Chordata; Mammalia; Diprotodontia; Phascolarctidae
Source: RefSeq, a predicted model, not a curated record